ACUCAGGUCUCGGGUGGACCGAGAGCAGAUAGGCCGCCGUCCGCAAUCCGCCUCUCCUCGGCUCGCUCGCCCUGCUACGCCGCUGCCGCUGCCGCCGCCGCCGCUGCCGCCGCCACUACUCGGUCGCCCUGCGCCGCCGCCACCGCCCGCCAUCCUCCUCUCCUCGGCUAGGUCUCCGUGCGCCGCCACGCCGGAUCCGCGGCGGAGGAGCCCAAGGACUCCAACGGCCUCUCCUCUCCUGCUGCUCGUUGCGCUCUCGGGCUCUUCGCCGUCCACCACUUCGCUGACCAUCCCCGUCUCCCUCCCUGCGCUGCCGCCGGGCCGCCGCCGAUUCCUCCCUGCGUCGCCGCUGCCGUCCACCGCAUCGACAGGUCCGUGGUUCUGCCCGCCCACGUGGGUCUGCCUCUCGCCAACCGCCAUCCUUUACCCAUGGUCUGCAGCACUUCCUCGCCGCCCCUCUUCCUCCUCACCGCGCUCGCCCUCUGCGCUCACCGCGCCACGCCGCCCGGCGCGGCAGUGCCUCGCGCGGGAUCCCCUCCUCGACAAAUCCACCGCCACCAUCAAACAAAUGCCGCCUCCCCUUCCCCCGUGCUGCUCAUCCUUGUGUUCCCCACCUCCACCUCCCCAAUCAACAUUCGCCUCUGUGUCGCCUUCGACUGGCUCAUCCUGCGGCAUCUGCCCCAACUCAUCAGCUGUGCGAUUGAGAGGAGCUGAGGUGCAGGCCAUGGCUUGAAUUGCCCAUGAGGGAGAUGGAUUGGGAGGAGCCCGUGCUGGAUUUGUGGCUCGGGUAGGAGGAGAAUCUCAGGAGAUGUCGUGCUUUGGUUGGAGGUGCAGCAAGAAUCGAUGGAGAUCUAGAGAUGAGGUCAUGGUGGUGAUGUUGGAGCUUGGGGAUUUUAGAGAUGGAUUUAGCGUGCUGCUGCUGAUGCAUGCUGCUAUUGGAGGGAGAGAAGGUUAGCUGGGUUCAUGAUCAGCUCGUCGUGCUUGCCGGCAGGAAGAAGGGAGAACUACUGGUUGCUGCUGCAAUCAUGGUGGACAGAAGAACAGAGAAGAGGUGUGCUGCUGAUUAUAUUUGACCUGUUGCUUGCUAAUUUGGAGGAAGAAAAAGAAAGAAACUGGUUGGCAGGUUGCUAGCUAUCGAGGAUUGCUUGCUCGGUGGAGGCAGAGGGAGAAAGAGAGGUGUGAAGGAAGAAAGAUGCUACUAUGUGUUUAUUUGAGAGGAGCUGGCUUGCUAUAAGAGGCCGGGAACAUUUGUAGCGUAUUCUUCAGAACAUAUCACAAGUGCUAGCAUAUUGAAGAUUUGGAGGGCCUGGAGGACUGUGACCUGCUCUGCAAUGUGGUACUGCAGAUGAGGUUCUAGAGAGGUUGGAUGGAAGAAAAAAAUGUAGAAUCUUUAUCGUCUGGGUUCUAUGCCAGGUUUGGUUUACUAUAAGCAUGCAUAUUUAAAAAUAUUUUUCCUGGUUAAUGUACGUUAUUUGGGAUGCUGGUGAUUAGGGGGUGAGAUUUGGGAGGUUUGUCGAGUAGUUUAAUUUUAGUUUGGACACAUACCUCUGUUCCUUGAAAAAAGUUUAAUUUUAGUUUGGGAAUUCUCCAUUCUUGAUUUCACUAACCUAUCUUGGUUCUUCUGAUCUUCUCCCACUAUGAUUAUGAGAUGUUGCGAUCAAAUAAGUGGAGGUUAUUAAAUUACAUGAACUUAUAGAUAUAUUAGCAACUGUAAUGGAACUUGUGCUUCUUUAUCUAACUACCCUGUCAUGCCCCUGUUUUAUAUAAGUUUUCUGGUUAUUUGAAAUUUCACCAUAAAUAUCUGUGCUGUUUAAGUAUACAAUCAUCAAGCCUCAAACCCAAUGUCUUUUAUACAACUCUGCAGUGAGAGUUGUGUCCAGAGAAACAGAUGCUUUAUUUAAUUAUUUCCAUCCCCAACAGAUGCAGGUCUUUUUUGUGUGCAGCUUGUUGGCAGAUAAGGUACAGCUCUGCCCAUUUUAGUUGUUCCUUGAGAGCCAUAUGCGCAAUACUUCUACUUAUGAUUAGUGUUUUAUGACUAUGCCAGCACUGUGUUUCUUACAUUUUGUUUCAUGGUACAUUAGCAUGUUGUACACCCAAAUUAUAGGGGAUGGGGUAGGGCUGGUGACUGGUGGCUCCAUUGAUAUUUCUGAUGAAGAAAAUAGAGGAAGAUUAUGUGUUCAUUGAGUUUUCUGUUUACGUGAAAUCAUGUGAUGUGGUCAUUAGCAUGUUGUACAUCCAAAUUGUCGGUUGGAGUAAUCAUCUUUGUCGCAAUCUGAUAUUGUUAUGUUUUUAUCUAUUACACAUGCAAUUGCACAUGAAUUUUAAUUUUGUUUCAUUCUGUGCUUGGUAUUAAUGGUAUGCCCAAUGACAAUUUCGUGUCAUGUGAUGCGAUUCUACAUUUGUUUUGCAUGUAGGGAUAAUUUGUAUGCCCGUAGCAACGCACGUUCUCAUGAUGCAGCUGGUGGUGGAGCAAAACUGUUGCUAGACGCAUGAUUCUAGCAAGUGUGCAAAGGUUAAUGCACAACGUGGUUGUAUCAUUCAUGGUGAAUGCAGGAAUAUGAUGGAGAAAAGGGGGCUGCUGGAUUUGGCCCCCUAUAAUCCCACUCCUAUGCCAAGGUUCAUGGUGUUUGUGCCAUCGGAGGUUUCUUGCUGCUUAGCUUCAAGAUCCCUACUGGUGGUAGUAUAAUAGGCGAUAGACAUUAGAUUUAGCGGGGUUUGUUCUAAAACCAUUUCUGGACAUAAGCUUUUCUCCUAUCGAUCUACUGACUGUCCUUUUUAUAUAACUUAAUGGAUGACUCUCCAUGAUGCUUGAUUUUUGUUGCACCUGUAAUACGAAUGAACAUGAGAAGUCAUGUAUGCCUGUUUAAUAAAGUAUAAAGUUGGAUGUAUUGCAUUUA
Setaria italica (foxtail millet) is the source of this 2897-nucleotide long non-coding RNA. RefSeq lists it as uncharacterized. The transcript has 4 exons. NCBI's taxonomy places the organism in Eukaryota, Viridiplantae, Streptophyta, Magnoliopsida, Poales, Poaceae. The record is from RefSeq and is a predicted model, not a curated record.